AGCGAGGACUGCCUCAGCGCGGUCCCCGACGACCUCCUUAUCAACAUCCUUCUCCUGAUCCGCGACGCCUCCGCCGCCGCGCGGACCAGCGUCCUCUCCCGCCGCUGGCGCCGCGUCUGGACGCUGCUCCCGGAGCUCCACUUUCUCUCCCACAAUGACCCCCACCGCAUACGCCUCGCCCUCACCGCCCAUCAAGCGCCGGCCCUACGCUUCCUCGAUGUCGCCGUCAUUGACGCCACCCCCGAUUCCAUGGUGGCCUGGCUUCAAAUCGCCGCACGCCGCCUCUCCGGCCAUCUACGUCUCAUCAACACUGAGGAGAACACCUCGUUAGACGAGGCCGGAGAAACAGGCGCAUUCGAGCUGCCCUGCUUCGAGGAUGCCAUGUCCAUCAGCCUCGAACUAGGCCGUCUUGGCCUCGCUGUGCCGUCUUCGGGUGUAUUCGCCCGGCUCACCAAUCUCUUCCUGAAUCGUGUCCGGCUACAUGGUCCGUCAAUGCUCGGUGACGCUGUCUCCUGGCCACGGUGCCCAUCCCUGCGGAGACUCAUCGUUCAUAAUGCUGACGGUGUGCGCAACUUCGCAAUCCACUCCGAUUCUCUCCUACAAAUGGAGCUGAGGAAUCUCCGUGGCUUGGAGCAGCUCACUGUGAUGGCGCCGGCACUCCAAUUUCUGAGUGUGAGCUCCUGCAUUUCUUAUAGUUUGAGAAAUAAUCAACCGGCUGCAAACAUCUCGGCCCCUCAGCUGAUAUCCCUCCAGUGGAAGGAUGAUUAUCAUCCAAACUACACCCAGCUUAAAAUGGAAAAUCUAGAACGGCUGAGUGCCCACCCUUUUUACGUAUAUGGACAAGAGUCGCACAAGACGUUCAAUAGUAAUUGUACGAGGCUUCUACGGCGCUUUGAGGUCAUUGGGGUUCUCAAAUUAAUGCUUCUCUAUCUGCCGGGAAUUACUAACCAUGAGUACUUGAUGGAAGACAUUAAAAAGAUCCCAAACACUUCAUUAAUGGUCCUGGAAAUAGUGGCAAAUGGACAUUCCUUUGGAGCCAGUUCAUUCCAUGUCCUCAGCAUGUGUAUUGGUGUCAGGAGGCUUCUUCUUAAACUUGUUGACGCACCUAGCCAUCUGGUGACUGGAUGCCCAUCAGGUUGCGUUUGUGAUCAGCCACCAAACUGGAAAAUCGAGGAACUCACGCUGUAUUGCCUUCGAGAAGUAGAGAUCCACAACUUGAGAGGAACUGAACAUGAAACUGCUCUUAUGAAACGGUUAUUCCGUUGGGCAACAGUGCUAGAAAAGAUGACAGUAACUUUUCAUUGCUCAGUCGCUGAAAGCAAGGCCAAGGAGUUCUGCCAGAUGCUUCAAAGCUUCUGUAGGCCAGAAAUAUCUAUGAAGGGGCAACGCUUCGCCUAA
This 1398-nucleotide ribosomal RNA is filed under the name Triticum aestivum (bread wheat). Its description in RNAcentral is "partial small subunit ribosomal RNA". Lineage: Eukaryota; Viridiplantae; Streptophyta; Magnoliopsida; Poales; Poaceae. The record is from RNAcentral.